GGGGCUGUAGCUCAGCUGGGAGAGCACCUGCUUUGCAAGCAGGGGGUCAGCGGUUCGAUCCCGCUCAGCUCCCCCA
RNAcentral lists this transfer RNA (76 nucleotides) under Sinorhizobium fredii NGR234. RNAcentral's name for it is "tRNA-Ala (TGC) (tRNA-Ala-TGC-2-1)". It matches the Rfam family "tRNA". From Rfam's summary of the family: Transfer RNA (tRNA) molecules are approximately 80 nucleotides in length. Lineage: Bacteria; Pseudomonadati; Pseudomonadota; Alphaproteobacteria; Hyphomicrobiales; Rhizobiaceae. The record is from RNAcentral.